This 228-nucleotide ribosomal RNA is filed under the name uncultured bacterium. RNAcentral describes it as "partial 16S ribosomal RNA". It matches the Rfam family "Bacterial small subunit ribosomal RNA", at positions 113 to 334 of the family's 1533-position model. The record is from RNAcentral.
CAACGUGGGUAACCUGCCCAUCAGAGGGGGAUAACAUUCGGAAACGGAUGCUAAAACCGCAUAGGUCCUUUAACCGCAUGGUUGAAGGAGGAAAAGAGGCGCAAGCUUCUGCUGAUGGAUGGACCCGCGGUGCAUUAGCUAGUUGGUGAGGUAACGGCUCACCAAGGCCGUGAUGCAUAGCCGACCUGAGAGGGUGAUCGGCCACAUUGGGACUGAGACACGGCCCAA